RNAcentral lists this non-coding RNA (27 nucleotides) under Mus musculus (house mouse). Lineage: Eukaryota; Metazoa; Chordata; Mammalia; Rodentia; Muridae. The record is from RNAcentral.
UGAAGACAAAAUUGUGUGAGUGUGUGU